Molecule: ribosomal RNA, 526 nt
Filed under: uncultured Bacilli bacterium
Lineage: Bacteria; Bacillati; Bacillota; Bacilli
Description: partial 16S ribosomal RNA
Source: RNAcentral
GCAUGCUGAUCCACGAUUACUAGCGAUUCCGGCUUCAUGCAGGCGAGUUGCAGCCUGCAAUCCGAACUGGGAACGGUUUUAUGGGAUUGGCUCCACCUCGCGGUUUCGCGACCCUCUGUACCGUCCAUUGUAGCACGUGUGUAGCCCAGGUCAUAAGGGGCAUGAUGAUUUGACGUCAUCCCCACCUUCCUCCGGUUUGUCACCGGCAGUCACCUUAGAGUGCCCAACUGAAUGCUGGCAACUAAGAUCAAGGGUUGCGCUCGUUACGGGACUUAACCCAACAUCUCGCGACACGAGCUGACGACAACCAUGCACCACCUGUCACCGUUGUCCCCGAAGGGAAAGGUCUAUCUCUAGACCGGGCAACGGGGUGUCAAGACCUGGUAAGGUUCUUCGCGUAGCUUCGAAUUAAACCACAUGCUCCACCGCUUGUGCGGGUCCCCGUCAAUUCCUUUGAGUUUCAGCCUUGCGGCCGUACUCCCCAGGCGGAGUGCUUAAUGCGUUUGCCCCAGCACUAAGGGGCGGA